Brachypodium distachyon (stiff brome) is the source of this 119-nucleotide non-coding RNA. The record is from Rfam. NCBI's taxonomy places the organism in Eukaryota, Viridiplantae, Streptophyta, Magnoliopsida, Poales, Poaceae.
GGAUGCGAUCAUACCAGCACUAAAGCACCGGAUCCCAUCAGAACUCCGAAGUUAAGCGUGGUUGGGCGAGAGUGGUACUUGGAUGGGUGACCUCCUGGGAAGUCCUCGUGUUGCAUUCC